GUAGGUGAACCUGCGGAAGGAUCAUUAACUCAAUAUAUGUGUAGUCACUUCGGUGGCUAUGCAUCAUAUUACCAAAAACCAAAUUUACAAUCCGUGAAACUAUAACAAAACCAAAAUGAAUGGGUUCGCGUGUCAUUACUUUGUUUGAAUGCACGUACUCAGCCAAUACCAAUUCCACGUACUAAUUUUUAACCAUAUUAACCCAUUACUGUAACGAUCUUUUCACGCAAGUGUGAAGAGCGUACUAAAA
Molecule: unclassified non-coding RNA, 250 nt
Filed under: plant metagenome
Description: partial contains small subunit ribosomal RNA, internal transcribed spacer 1, and 5.8S ribosomal RNA
Source: RNAcentral